AGAGUUUGAUCAUGGCUCAGAUUGAACGCUGGCGGCAGGCCUAACACAUGCAAGUCGAGCGGUAGCACAGAGAGCUUGCUCUCGGGUGACGAGCGGCGGACGGGUGAGUAAUGUCUGGGAAACUGCCUGAUGGAGGGGGAUAACUACUGGAAACGGUAGCUAAUACCGCAUAACGUCGCAAGACCAAAGUGGGGGACCUUCGGGCCUCAUGCCAUCAGAUGUGCCCAGAUGGGAUUAGCUAGUAGGUGGGGUAACGGCUCACCUAGGCGACGAUCCCUAGCUGGUCUGAGAGGAUGACCAGCCACACUGGAACUGAGACACGGUCCAGACUCCUACGGGAGGCAGCAGUGGGGAAUAUUGCACAAUGGGCGCAAGCCUGAUGCAGCCAUGCCGCGUGUGUGAAGAAGGCCUUCGGGUUGUAAAGCACUUUCAGCGGGGAGGAAGGCGUUAAGGUUAAUAACCUUGGCGAUUGACGUUACCCGCAGAAGAAGCACCGGCUAACUCCGUGCCAGCAGCCGCGGUAAUACGGAGGGUGCAAGCGUUAAUCGGAAUUACUGGGCGUAAAGCGCACGCAGGCGGUCUGUCAAGUCGGAUGUGAAAUCCCCGGGCUUAACCUGGGAACUGCAUUCGAAACUGGCAGGCUAGAGUCUUGUAGAGGGGGGUAGAAUUCCAGGUGUAGCGGUGAAAUGCGUAGAGAUCUGGAGGAAUACCGGUGGCGAAGGCGGCCCCCUGGACAAAGACUGACGCUCAGGUGCGAAAGCGUGGGGAGCAAACAGGAUUAGAUACCCUGGUAGUCCACGCCGUAAACGAUGUCGAUUUGGAGGUUGUGCCCUUGAGGCGUGGCUUCCGGAGCUAACGCGUUAAAUCGACCGCCUGGGGAGUACGGCCGCAAGGUUAAAACUCAAAUGAAUUGACGGGGGCCCGCACAAGCGGUGGAGCAUGUGGUUUAAUUCGAUGCAACGCGAAGAACCUUACCUGGUCUUGACAUCCACAGAACUUUCCAGAGAUGGAUUGGUGCCUUCGGGAACUGUGAGACAGGUGCUGCAUGGCUGUCGUCAGCUCGUGUUGUGAAAUGUUGGGUUAAGUCCCGCAACGAGCGCAACCCUUAUCCUUUGUUGCCAGCGGUCCGGCCGGGAACUCAAAGGAGACUGCCAGUGAUAAACUGGAGGAAGGUGGGGAUGACGUCAAGUCAUCAUGGCCCUUACGACCAGGGCUACACACGUGCUACAAUGGCAUAUACAAAGAGAAGCGACCUCGCGAGAGCAAGCGGACCUCAUAAAGUAUGUCGUAGUCCGGAUUGGAGUCUGCAACUCGACUCCAUGAAGUCGGAAUCGCUAGUAAUCGUAGAUCAGAAUGCUACGGUGAAUACGUUCCCGGGCCUUGUACACACCGCCCGUCACACCAUGGGAGUGGGUUGCAAAAGAAGUAGGUAGCUUAACCUUCGGGAGGGCGCUUACCACUUUGUGAUUCAUGACUGGGGUGAAGUCGUAACAAGGUAACCGUAGGGGAACCUGCGGUUG
RNAcentral lists this ribosomal RNA (1520 nucleotides) under Klebsiella pneumoniae. Its description in RNAcentral is "bacterial SSU rRNA". It matches the Rfam family "Bacterial small subunit ribosomal RNA". Lineage: Bacteria; Pseudomonadati; Pseudomonadota; Gammaproteobacteria; Enterobacterales; Enterobacteriaceae. The record is from RNAcentral.